CCCUAUCCUGAAGCUACUUAUAUGCUCUCUAGGAACAUAGUCCUACAGACGAAACAAACAGCAACGACAUUGCAGUGGGGGGAGGUUCAUGUGUAUGUACCAGAUGUACUUGGCGACGACCCCGUUGGUCCCGAUGGCGAGGGCCGGAUCCUUGAACUCGGAUGCUCCUCAAGGCAACAUCACACGGACAAUGAUGCACCAGGGAACAAGACAGAUUGCAAAAGAGGGGACAGAGGGUUCUGCACAUAAGAGGAGAAUGCCUUACUCAUCUCCAGUUUGACAUUUUUGCAAUCACAAAUAUUCCAUUGUAUCACAGUUCUUCAAUUGAAUAUAUGUUUCAUUCAAUUUCAGCAUGUUCUGAAUCUUUAUUGCCUAGAAUGAAAAAUGGAAGCGUUAUUCCAUAAGAGAAGCAAAUCAAAAUGAUUUCCCUAUACUUCCAUAUAAGCUUGGUAUUUAAGAAGCCACACUUUCAUUUCAAGAAAAUUCACCUACAUCAACUGAUUCACCUUUCCCUUGGCGUGCACUCAAAGUCUUCUCAACUCCUGAACGCAAAGACAUGCUCGCGUAUAUUGACAUGUCAAUUGACUUUUAGCCAUAGAAAACUGCUGAAUCCAGCUUGCAUAACAUGAACAGAAAAAAAGAACCAGUAUUAAAAGGAUACAUGAACAUAAAUCAUUAAUUUAUCUUCAGUUAGCUACACAUAUUGCAUGGUGAGGCAUCUUCAGAACUUUAGAUGAUUGUUGGUUUAAGUUAUAUUGGCCGUUGUAGCAUGAAGCUUGAUUUUGAGAGCACACACAUGAUAAGAAUGGAUACAGAGCACAUAUUUUGGUUUCCAUGUUCCUGUAAAAGUACUAACCAGCAAUUUGAUCAAAUAAGGAUCAUGUAAGGACCUAACGAUGUUCCGGUAAAUGAAGCCAAGAACUGUCGUUACUAAGCGCACCUCUGCACGUACAAAUCUGAAAUUGUGUACCUUCAAUCUACUCCAUGAUUAAGUUCUUCGUGCCAGGAGAAGAGAUGACAAGAUCUCUCUCAUUGUCUGCUCGGGUACGUCAGUUCUAUCAUGGUGGGUUCUAAUAAAUCUAUAGAAAUAAAAUGUAUGGUGGGUUCUAAUAAAUCUGCUUAGGUACAUCAGUUCUAUCAUGGUGGGUUCUAUCAUGAUUAAAGCUUCAAGUACAUCAGUUCUGCUCAGGAAAAUACAAUGAUCUCUGAAGAAAUUGUCUUCUCCAGACUGACGAACUGCAGCAUUAGUACUGACUUCUAAUAAAAUUCGACCAACAGCGUGUCAAUCAAUAUCAAAUCUCUUGAAUAGUAAGAUGGGCUGGACAAGAACAAAACACCAUGCCCAUGCAAUGCAAGGAGGAAGAAGGCCGCCAUCCAUGACCCUAGGGGAUGGAGUGGCGGAGAGGGGAGGAAUCACCUGGGGAAGAUAGGCUGCCGGAGGAAGACGCCGGCAUUGAAGCUCCGGCAGCGGCUGUGCGUUGAAGCUCCGGCAGCGGCUGGGCACUAAAGAUCGGCGGCGGGCUCCUCCUCUCGUCUGUCUCUGCGUCUCGCCAGAUCUGUUCCGCGUGGGUGCCUCAAGGCUGGGUAUCUGCGUGUAUAGAGAGGGAUCGACGGGGUUUCGAGAGCCACCAGGGAGCCUCUUUCCGCGGCAGCGUGGCUGGGCAGCGGGGUGUCUGUGCAUCGGCGCGAGGGCGGCGAGGGGCAUGUGCAGCGACAUGGGGGCCAGUCGGGCGGUCGGGGGCCGAUGGCUUGGGGGGCAACGGGGGCGAAGAGGAGCAGCACGGUUACCCCGAACGGGACGGCGGACCUGUCGAAGGAGGAGGUGAGGUGGACGACGACGUCGUGCGCGAGGAGGACGAGGGAUGGUAAUGGGGAGAGAUCUGGAGACGGAUGAGAAUCGUGGGGGAAGUGGACGAUGUGCGGGGAUGGUCGCAGUUGUUUCUUU
RNAcentral lists this long non-coding RNA (1945 nucleotides) under Hordeum vulgare. RNAcentral's name for it is "long non-coding RNA (HVUL_LNC013954)". The record is from RNAcentral. Lineage: Eukaryota; Viridiplantae; Streptophyta; Magnoliopsida; Poales; Poaceae.